GGAGUGGAGCUCAGUGUUAGAGCAUGUGCUUAGUGAGCAUGCACGAGGCCCUGGGUUCAAUCCCCAGCACCCCG
Molecule: transfer RNA, 74 nt
Filed under: Marmota monax (woodchuck)
Lineage: Eukaryota; Metazoa; Chordata; Mammalia; Rodentia; Sciuridae
Description: tRNA.Thr
Rfam family: tRNA
About the family: Transfer RNA (tRNA) molecules are approximately 80 nucleotides in length.
Source: RNAcentral